UGUGGGGUUCCCGAGCGGCCAAAGGGAGCAGACUGUAAAUCUGCCGUCAUCGACUUCGAAGGUUCGAAUCCUUCCCCCACCACCA
Molecule: transfer RNA, 85 nt
Filed under: Acinetobacter baumannii
Lineage: Bacteria; Pseudomonadati; Pseudomonadota; Gammaproteobacteria; Moraxellales; Moraxellaceae
Also listed under: 4 other names
Description: tRNA-Tyr
Rfam family: tRNA
About the family: Transfer RNA (tRNA) molecules are approximately 80 nucleotides in length. Their secondary structure includes four short double-helical elements and three loops (D, anti-codon, and T loops).
Source: RNAcentral